UCGAUAGGCCAGAGAUGUAAGCGUAGUAAUACGUUCAGUUGACUGGUACUAAUUGCUCGAUAGGCUUGAUUUGAUCCAG
This 79-nucleotide ribosomal RNA is filed under the name Sulfitobacter sp. HI0023. RNAcentral's name for it is "partial 23S ribosomal RNA". It matches the Rfam family "Bacterial large subunit ribosomal RNA", at positions 2853 to 2925 of the family's 2925-position model. Lineage: Bacteria; Pseudomonadati; Pseudomonadota; Alphaproteobacteria; Rhodobacterales; Roseobacteraceae. The record is from RNAcentral.